UACGUAGGGUGCAAGCGUUGUUCGGAAUUACUGGGCGUAAAGCGCGCGUAGGCGGGCUCGUAUGUCAGUUGUGAAAUCCCCGGGCUCAACCUGGGAAUUGCAGCUGAAACUGCGGGUCUUGAGUGCCCGAGAGGAUGGGGGAAUUCCUGGUGUAGUAGUGAAAUACGUAGAUAUCAGGAGGAACACCUGAGGCGAAGGCGCCUGUCUGGUGGUGCACUGACGCUGAGGCGCGAAAGCGUGGGGAGCAAACAGG
Molecule: ribosomal RNA, 253 nt
Filed under: uncultured bacterium
Lineage: Bacteria
Description: partial 16S ribosomal RNA
Rfam family: Bacterial small subunit ribosomal RNA
Source: RNAcentral